UGUCCAAAGAGUUGCCAUAGAAGACAGCAGC
RNAcentral lists this non-coding RNA (31 nucleotides) under Mus musculus (house mouse). The record is from RNAcentral. Lineage: Eukaryota; Metazoa; Chordata; Mammalia; Rodentia; Muridae.